Molecule: ribosomal RNA, 1060 nt
Filed under: uncultured eukaryote
Lineage: Eukaryota
Description: SSU rRNA
Rfam family: Eukaryotic small subunit ribosomal RNA
Source: RNAcentral
GUCUCAAGAUUAGCCAUGCAUGUCUAAGUAUAAGCACUUGUACUGUGAAACUGCGAAUGGCUCAUUAAAUCAGUUAUCGUUUAUUUGAUUGUACCUUACUACAUGGAUACCUGUGGUAAUUCUAGAGCUAAUACAUGCGAAAAGUCCCAACUUCUGGAAGGGAUGUAUUUAUUAGAUUAAAAACCAAUGCAAGUCUUCGGGCUCGUUUUCUUGGUGAUUCAUGAUAACUUUUCGAAUCGCAUGGCCUAGAGCCGGCGAUACUUCAUUCAAAUUUCUGCCCUAUCAACUGUCGAUGGUAAGGUAGUGGCUUACCAUGGUUAUAACGGGUGACGGAGAAUUAGGGUUCGAUUCCGGAGAGGGAGUCUGAGAAACGGCUACCACAUCUAAGGAAGGCAGCAGGCUCGAAAAUUACCCAAUCCCGACUCGGGGAGGUAGUGACAAGAAAUAACGAUACGGGGUCUUAAUAGGUCUCGCAAUUGGAAUGAGUACAAUUUAAAUCCUUUAACGAGGAUCAAUUGGAGGGCAAGUCUGGUGCCAGCAGCCGCGGUAAUUCCAGCUCCAAUAGCGUAUAUUAAAGUUGUUGCAGUUAAAAAGCUCGUAGUUGGAUUUCGGAGUGGGCCAGUUGGUCCGCCGCAAGGUGUGUUACUGACUGGUUUGCUCUUCUUCGCAAAGACUGCGUGUGCUCUUGAGUGAGUGUGCGUAGAAUUUACGACGUUUACUUUGAAAAAAUUAGAGUGUUCAAAGCAGGCUAUUGCUUGAAUACAUGAGCAUGGAAUAAUGGAAUAGGACUUUGGUCCCAUUUUGUUGGUUUCUAGGGCCGAAGUAAUGAUUAAGAGGGACAAUUGGGGGCAUCCGUAUUUCGUUGUCAGAGGUGAAAUUCUUGGAUUUACGAAAGACGAACAACUGCGAAAGCACUUGCCAAGAGUGUUUUCAUUAAUCAAGAACGAAAGUUAGAGGAUCGAGACGAUCAGAUACCGUCCUAGUUCUAACCAUAAACGAUGUCGACUAGGGAUCAGCGGGCGUUAUCGUACGACCCCGUUGGCACCUUACGGGAAACCAA